UCUGUCAUCGGAGAGAACAAUCUGGAAGGUGCGGUGCGCUUGAUUCCUUCCAGCGCCGGUGUCUUCCGCCCGAAUCCUAAAGCCCCGGUGGGUGGAUUCGGGAGU
This 105-nucleotide non-coding RNA is filed under the name uncultured Micromonas. The record is from RNAcentral. Lineage: Eukaryota; Viridiplantae; Chlorophyta; Mamiellophyceae; Mamiellales.